Molecule: unclassified non-coding RNA, 217 nt
Filed under: Melitaea cinxia (Glanville fritillary)
Lineage: Eukaryota; Metazoa; Arthropoda; Insecta; Lepidoptera; Nymphalidae
Description: misc RNA ENSMCXG00005014203.1
Source: RNAcentral
GUACGCUCUUUAGAUGGUGAGAAGGUGUCCAAAUAAUGCAUCGUUAUCUAUAUAUAUAAAAGAGAAAGGUAAAUAACUCACGCAUCACGAGAACUCAAAAACCGCUGGAUGGUCUAUCCAUCCAGGUUAGACAAAGAUAAAAUUUGGCAGGGAGGUAGAAUAUAGUUAGCAAACGUCCGCUAAGAACGGAUUUUACGAUAUUCCACCGCUAAGGGGG